AUUGAACGCUGGCGGCAGGCUUAACACAUGCAAGUCGAGCGGGGUGAUGGUGCUUGCACUAUCACUUAGCGGCGGACGGGUGAGUAAUGCUUAGGAAUCUGCCUAUUAGUGGGGGACAACAUCUCGAAAGGGAUGCUAAUACCGCAUACGUCCUACGGGAGAAAGCAGGGGAUCACUUGUGACCUUGCGCUAAUAGAUGAGCCUAAGUCGGAUUAGCUAGUUGGUGGGGUAAAGGCCUACCAAGGCGACGAUCUGUAGCGGGUCUGAGAGGAUGAUCCGCCACACUGGGACUUAGACACGGCCCAGACUCCUACGGGAGGCAGCAGUGGGGAAUAUUGGACAAUGGGGGGAACCCUGAUCCAGCCAUGCCGCGUGUGUGAAGAAGGCCUUAUGGUUGUAAAGCACUUUAAGCGAGGAGGAGGCUCUUUUGGUUAAUACCCAAGAUGAGUGGACGUUACUCGCAGAAUAAGCGCCGGCUAACUCUGUGCCAGCAGCCGCCGUAA
RNAcentral lists this ribosomal RNA (503 nucleotides) under uncultured bacterium. RNAcentral describes it as "partial 16S ribosomal RNA". It matches the Rfam family "Bacterial small subunit ribosomal RNA", at positions 30 to 523 of the family's 1533-position model. The record is from RNAcentral.